RNAcentral lists this ribosomal RNA (252 nucleotides) under uncultured bacterium. RNAcentral's name for it is "partial 16S ribosomal RNA". It matches the Rfam family "Bacterial small subunit ribosomal RNA", at positions 524 to 776 of the family's 1533-position model. The record is from RNAcentral.
UACGUAGGGGGCAAGCGUUGUCCGGAAUUAUUGGGCGUAAAGCGCGCGCAGGCGGUCAUUUAAGUUUCAUGUAUAAACCCAAGGCUCAACCUUGGUUCGCAUGGAAAACUGGGUGGCUUGAGUGUAGGAGAGGAAAGUGGAAUUCCACGUGUAGCGGUGAAAUGCGUAGAUAUGUGGAGGAACACCAGUGGCGAAGGCGACUUUCUGGCCUAUAACUGACGCUGAGGCGCGAAAGCGUGGGGAGCAAACAGG